AGGACGAACGCUGGCGGCGUGCUUAACACAUGCAAGUCGAGCGGAAAGGCCCUUCGGGGUACUCGAGCGGCGAACGGGUGAGUAACACGUGAGUAAUCUGCCCCUAGCUCUGGGAUAGCUCCGGGAAACCGGGAUUAAUACCGGAUACGACCACUACGGACAUCUGUGGUGGUGGAAAGAACUUCGGCUAGGGAUGAGCUCGCGGCCUAUCAGCUUGUUGGUGGGGUAACGCCUACCAAGGCGACGACGGGUA
Molecule: ribosomal RNA, 253 nt
Filed under: uncultured bacterium
Lineage: Bacteria
Description: partial small subunit ribosomal RNA
Rfam family: Bacterial small subunit ribosomal RNA
Source: RNAcentral